UGCCCAGACUCCUACGGGAGGCAGCAGCGGGGGAUAUUGCACAAUGGGGGAAACCCUGAUGCAGCGACGCCGCGUGGGUGAAGAAGCGCCUCGGCGCGUAAAGCCCUGUCAGCAGGGAAGAAAAUGACGGUACCUGAAGAAGAAGCCCCGGCUAACUACGUGCCAGCAGCCGCGGUAAUACGGAGGAUGCGAGCGUUAUCCGGAUUUAUUGGGUUUAAAGGGUGCGCAGGCGGCACGGCAAGCCGGCGGUCAAAUCGCGGGGCUCAACCCCGCCCAGCCGUCGGAACUGCCGGGCUAGAGUGGGCGAGAAGUGCGCGGAAUGCGUGGUGUAGCGGUGAAAUGCAUAGAUAUCACGCAGAACUCCGAUUGCGAAGGCAGCGCACCGGCGCCCUACUGACGCUCAGGCACGAAAGCGUGGGUAUCGAACAGGAUUAGAUACCCUAGUAC
This 447-nucleotide ribosomal RNA is filed under the name uncultured bacterium. RNAcentral's name for it is "bacterial SSU rRNA". It matches the Rfam family "Bacterial small subunit ribosomal RNA", at positions 328 to 793 of the family's 1533-position model. The record is from RNAcentral.